RNAcentral lists this ribosomal RNA (253 nucleotides) under uncultured prokaryote. RNAcentral describes it as "partial 16S ribosomal RNA". It matches the Rfam family "Bacterial small subunit ribosomal RNA", at positions 525 to 777 of the family's 1533-position model. The record is from RNAcentral.
ACGAAGGGGGCAAGCGUUGUUCGGAAUUACUGGGCGUAAAGGGCGCGUAGGCGGCUUACCAAGUCUGACGUGAAAUCCCCGGGCUCAACCUGGGAAUUGCGUUGGAGACUGCGAGGCUAGAAUCUGGCAGAGGGGGGUAGAAUUCCACGUGUAGCAGUGAAAUGCGUAGAGAUGUGGAGGAACACCGAUGGCGAAGGCAGCCCCCUGGGUCAAGAUUGACGCUCAUGCACGAAAGCGUGGGGAGCAAACAGGA